CCACACACUCAGUGCACUUUCCCAUCUGCAUUCAUUUGGGGAGCUAAUUCUGGCUGCUGAAUGUCUUCAUUUAAAAUACAGACAUACAUGUAUUUUGUUCAGUGUUUUAAUUAGGCCCAAAGGAAUGUACUUUCAAUUUUUGGUACACUUCAUUUGUUAUAUUAAUGAAAAGCCACUUUAAAUCAAGUUUCCUGUUGAUAUUUCAUUAUGUAUGCUGUUCUUACACAUCUCUAAAGGAGAUUUACGUUACAGGUAGUAACCACAAAUACCGGCCAUGGACAUGCUGUUAAUUUAAAAUGUAAAGUUUUCUUUUGAGGCGCAGCAGACAUAUAGGGUCUCUCUCUUCGCCAGGGCCGCUCACUUCCCUGUGAAAAUGACCCACAGCUGUCGCCCCAUCCGGAGGCCCAACCUACAGGCAGGGAUCUGACGUUCACACCCAGGUUCACGGAAGACAGAGCUCAGCACGGGGCCAGAGCAUAAUGUGCAGGGACUGGCCCCGCUCCCGACAACAUGGGCAGCCUUGACGGUGGCGCUGGCCUUGCCCUCGGCUGUCGCUGAACGUUUCCAGGUGCCAGCACUGCACCAGGCAGGUCAGCCCUAUGCCACCAGAUGGAGCCCACCCCACCUCGCCAAGAUGUAGAUGGUCCACCCCGACCCCGUAUGGCGGAGGAGAAAGCCGACACGCAGGGCUAAUGGACUGUGGAGUUAAGAUCUGAAGCCAGGCCCGGGGCCCCUGACCACCGUGUCCAACCGAGAGAAGCUCUGCUGGAGACAGGCUUCUAGCCCCUGUGUUGUUGGGGUGUUGCGAGGUAAACCUGGCUUAGUAGCUGAAGAAGACGGCGAUCAGCAUGGUCCCGUGCACGGAGGGUCAGCGCUGGGCACUGACUUUGAGCCGGCAGAGGGUGAGGGAGGCAACAGCUGGGAUGACUGGGGCACAACCAGUGGUCUGGCCACGCUUCCUCUGGUGGCCUUCAGGGCCUUACAAACACCGACAGACGUUACCUCCAGGACCCUCACGAGGACCCUCUGCGUCAAGCUGUCAUCGUCACUCCUGUUUUACAGGCUGCUUGGAAAAACUGACCAGGAGCUCUGAGCAAGGGCGGAGGACAGGCUCAUGGAGGGCAGUAGACGGGACUCGGGGCCACGGCAGCAAGGAGGACCCAGGACGGAGGACCGUGGAGCCCCGCGAUGGUGUCACACGCUCCCAGACCAACCGGGGCCACCCUCCUCCGAGCAGUGGGGCAGGCGGCACCCGCUGAGGGCAGGUGCAGACGCAGUGCCUUUGGGUCUGCAGGCCGGGGAGGCCCCCUGGAGGACCAGCUUGCUCUGAGGGGUAACAGCAGGGGCCGACGACCGGGAACUCGAGAGACAGGCCAGCACCCGGCUCUAACGACCGACCGCCUGCUUGCUUCACUGUCAGCCUCCUCGGCAGCAGGACGCUCCCACACCUGUCUGGCCUACGUGUUCUUCAGACCACGUCCUCAUCUGCCGUCAGAAUUCUAUUCUUUAGGACUCCCACCCUGGGCCUUGCCCAAAUCACUUGCUUUUCCCCCCUUACUAGGGGACCCCGUUUUUUUCUGGCAUCUAUGCACUCUGUGCUUCCCUCGUGGCUCAGAUGAUGAAGAAUCGGCCCCACAAUGCAGGAGACCCGGGUUCAAUCCCUGGGUCAGAAAGAUCCCCUGGAGAAGGACAUGGCAACCCAUUCCAGUGUCCUUGCCUGGAGAAUCCCAUGGACAGAGGAGCCUGGCGGGCUACAGUCCCUGGGAUGGCAAAGAGUCAGAUAGGACUGAGCCACUAACACUUUCACUUUCAUGCACUCUGUACCCACCUUGAGUCCUGAGCCCCAUCCAGGAGCACCUGAGCCCCCAUUACGACCCGCGCCACCCUCCCAGGGAAGCACCACACCCUUAGGAGCCUUGCUAGCCCGAGGAGCUGUCCAGAGCGUCAACAGAGGAAGAAUUCCUCGCACCACCCACCAUCCCGCUGACCACGUGAGCCCCGUGGACAGGACAGCCGCAGGCUGUCAGGAUGUCACAGGGUGUCGAAGGAGGGCCACAUGGAGGGGCGCACGCCGUUCACAGACCACUGCCAUGCCGCCGCCUGUCCCUGCCAGUGUCCCCUGACUGCCGAAGCCUUGGCACGAAGGUCUCAGAGUGGGGCCCGGUCCCCGCGCAUGGCUGGCGCGUUCUCAGAUGCCACCCUCCUGUGGUCCCUGCCCUUCUGCUGAGCCUGGUUGUCUUUCUGUGGAUUCUAUGAGCCACUUGAUAUCCUUCUAGUAGUCCCUGUUUCUGCUUGAAUGAGUCCACGGUUUAUGCCAUUGGCAAGCAAGGGUGGGCCACAGCUCCCUCCCAGGGCUGCUGGAAGCACUGCUGGCUGGAGGGGGGCACCCGGGGCAGAGGUCAUUUGUGAGGGAGCACUACAGGGGGAGCACCGUGAGGGAGCAUCAUGAGGGAGCUGGAGCCCUGGGCUGACCCGAGGCCUGGGGGCCCCGGACCCCAAGCCUGGUCCUGGAGGGUUAGCGUGUGUGACAUGGAGGCCAAGAGUCCUGAGCACAGGGAGCCGGCUCCGCUGACCAGCUCAUCACCAAGAAAUCCAGGAGGCCUCCUCGCGCCCCCAGAGGGGUGGAAGUUUGGCACCAGCAGGGACCGAGGGCCCUGGGGGCUGAGGCGGAGGGACCUGGGGUGGGGGAAACAGCCAUUUCUUUUAUCUUUGCAUGUUUAGAGGUACGGCGUAGACACUCACACUGCACCAACGUCAGGGUCCUGGUUUUGAUACUGAAUAUAGUUAGCUAAGACGUUGCCACUGGAGAAGCCAGUGAAGGAGACACCUGUGGACCUCUGUGUAUUAUUUGUGUAACUUCCUGUAAGUCUAUAGUUAUUUAAAAAUAAAAAGUCAUUUAAAAAGAUACGGGAUACAGUGUUUUCAUAAUGAAAACCUGGCCAUGUCAGAUCACAGAAGGAAGCUCCCCUAAAUUCCAAAAGGGAAACGUAAGAGCUGGGACAUAAUUUUCCACCCCAGGCUACUGAACUUCUGGUUUCCCUUGCCCUGUGCAGGGCUGGGAAAGACCUAGGAAACGUUGGCAGAGAGCCCCGACUUGGCCUCCACCCCCAGGCCUGACC
Molecule: long non-coding RNA, 3119 nt
Organism: Bos taurus (domestic cattle)
Lineage: Eukaryota; Metazoa; Chordata; Mammalia; Artiodactyla; Bovidae
Source: Ensembl